Pseudopipra pipra is the source of this 1298-nucleotide long non-coding RNA. RefSeq lists it as uncharacterized. The record is from RefSeq and is a predicted model, not a curated record. Lineage: Eukaryota; Metazoa; Chordata; Aves; Passeriformes; Pipridae. The transcript is spliced from 2 exons.
CCUCUCCCGCUCGCCCGAUGCCUGGGCGAGACCGCCCGCUGAUUGACUGUGGGGGUCUCUCUGGAGGCGGGGAGCGCACAGAGCGCCAUGUUGGCUGUGGGGAAGUGAUGGAGGAGGCGGCGGCGGGUGCACUGCACUCCCCAUUAACCCCCCCUUCCCCAGGUGGUUCCUUUGCCCAUGGGCAGCAAAGCCCCCACUGCUUCUGCAGCUGGAGAGUGUUGGAGCUGUGGACCAUUAACAUUCCAGUCUCUCCCAGCUCUGCAUCCCAAAAGUCGAGAGGGAUCAGUCUGUCACCUCAAAGUGAAUCAAUCCCAUUGAAAAUGGCUCGAUCCCAUUCCAAAACCUCUGUGUUUCUUAUUUUCCCUGUGUAAUUCUGGGGCAGCUGGUGCCACUCCUCAGCUCUCAGCAGGCUGAGGCUUGGCCUUGCACUUUUGCCUUUGCUGGAUUUCUUCAUCAAAUAUUUCUCUCUCCCUGAAAAGAAACAUAUGGAAGGUUUUCAAUAAUCUGGACAUCUUUAGACCAUCUGGACAAAUGACAGUUUGCAGUGUUGGAACAGCUCAGCCACAACAUUUUCCAUGUUUAAUCAUUUAUUCCCAUCCCUCCCAGGAGGGAGGACACUGAACUCUUCCACAGAAACAGAAACAGAAAACUAGUAACAAAAAUUCAGAGACUACUGAACAUGAAAAAUACCUUUUGCUCACAGGUGGCCCUUUCAUGUCCUUCUCUUCUGCCUUCCUGGAAUCCACGUUAUCCACGGCAGCAGUUGCCUAGAUCAUGGCCCAGAAAAGCUUUUUAAUUCAUUUAUAAUCAUUCCAGAAAACUGAAUCACAGCUGGGGGGUGGGAGACCAAGCAGGUGUUCAGGCUGGAGAGCCAGAGGCAGCUCCCCAGAGAGAGGCCUCAGAGAUAGGGAUGGAAUCCAUCAGACGGCCUUGGGCACUCUGUGAGAGGGAGAGAAGAAGCUGCAACUUCAGGGGAAGGACACCUGGGGUGAACACCUGCUACCAAAGUUAAAAAUGAGAAGGAAGAGACUGCUUUAGUUCACCCCACUUAUGAAAUAGGAAUUAAUUUAUAAUUAAGAAUGACAGUGUGUUGUUAGAAAAAUUUGACUAGUGUGGAUAAGUUAGAAAAAGUGUGUGACAGUGUGUUAAAAAGGUCCAUGCAUGCCUCCUUCCCUGUAGCCUAGAAAUUCCUGCGCUAGGUGGGAUAAAAAAGCUUUACUGUAAACAUUGCAUGCCUUUUCUGCCAUUUUGGGGUGGACGAGGAGGACGGAAGAAUAAAACUUCUAUUUUUAGUGACA